This 28-nucleotide small RNA is filed under the name Bombyx mori (domestic silkworm). RNAcentral's name for it is "ovarian small RNA-2387". Lineage: Eukaryota; Metazoa; Arthropoda; Insecta; Lepidoptera; Bombycidae. The record is from RNAcentral.
UUGCCGAAAAGUGAAUCCUUUGAAUGGG